UACAGAGGGGGCAAGCGUUAUUCGGAAUUAUUGGGCGUAAAGGGCUCGUAGGCGGUCCGUCACGUCGGGAGUGAAAACUCGGGGCUCAACCCCGAGCCUGCUUCCGAUACGGGCGGACUAGAGGUAGGUAGGGGAGAACGGAAUUCCUGGUGUAGCGGUGGAAUGCGCAGAUAUCAGGAGGAACACCGGUGGCGAAGGCGGUUCUCUGGGCCUUACCUGACGCUGAGGAGCGAAAGCGUGGGGAGCGAACAGG
This 253-nucleotide ribosomal RNA is filed under the name uncultured bacterium. RNAcentral's name for it is "partial 16S ribosomal RNA". It matches the Rfam family "Bacterial small subunit ribosomal RNA", at positions 524 to 776 of the family's 1533-position model. The record is from RNAcentral.